UCUUAGGUGACUGAGUUAUAAGUGCUAGAUUUUUGAUCUAGAGACGGUGAGUAAUAAACCUCUAAGAU
Molecule: transfer RNA, 68 nt
Filed under: Melo melo
Lineage: Eukaryota; Metazoa; Mollusca; Gastropoda; Neogastropoda; Volutidae
Description: tRNA-Lys
Source: RNAcentral